UAUAUGGGGAGAGAACGCAUCAGCUGCGUCGCCGAAGGAGCAAGUAAUUACUAUUAUGAAUCUCUCAGGCAAAAGAACU
Molecule: non-coding RNA, 79 nt
Filed under: uncultured Psychrobacillus sp.
Lineage: Bacteria; Bacillati; Bacillota; Bacilli; Caryophanales; Bacillaceae
Description: Glycine riboswitch
Rfam family: Glycine riboswitch aptamer
About the family: This family represents the bacterial glycine riboswitch. Glycine riboswitches usually consist of two metabolite-binding aptamers domains with similar structures in tandem. The aptamers cooperatively bind glycine to regulate the expression of downstream genes.
Source: RNAcentral